Crotalus tigris (Tiger rattlesnake) is the source of this 534-nucleotide long non-coding RNA. RefSeq lists it as uncharacterized. The record is from RefSeq and is a predicted model, not a curated record. Lineage: Eukaryota; Metazoa; Chordata; Lepidosauria; Squamata; Viperidae. The transcript is spliced from 3 exons.
CAAUGCAGUGGACUGGUAUCCUAAAUGGAUAUGAACCACCGUGCUUAUCCCUUUCCUUUUUCUGCUUCCUCCUCUCCAGCACCCUGUUGUUUCUGGGCAGGGCAUUAAGGGGCAGAGUAGACAGCCUACAUUUCUGCGGGAAUGGCUGGGUGGGGGUGGGGAUUGCAACAGAAGCAUUGUUCCCGAUGAGGAUCCUGAUUCAAUAGGACCUCUUUUAGGAAUUCUGAGUCUCUUUUCACUGAUGGCUAAAGAGGAAUCAUUGUCAUUCACAGGAUUCUCCUGAAGAAGGGGAAGGCACGCUGGAGAAUCUCAGCAGCCUGGAGGAAGACUCCCUGGACUUCAGUCUCUAAUUAAAAGAGAUGCUUCCCCAGAUGCCUCUCCAGUUGGCAGAUCGGAGAAGGAUGAACCAGUCCCAGGCACAUCAGGAGACGGACGGCGAUGGACGGCGGAAUCCGACCCAGCAGCGAAGACCAGCGAUGAGCCACUUUCCCCCAAGGAACUUUCUGCGUCUUGUUAUUGUUGUUGUUUUUGUAA